GUUGACUUUUCAGCUACAUGCUACUGUAGGUUAUUCUCCCAUGCUACUGUAGGUUACUCUCCCAUGCUACUGUAGGUUACUCUCAUGCUACAGUAGGUUACUCUCCCAUGCUACAGUAGGUUACUCUCCCAUGCUACAGUAGGUUACUCUCUCCCAUGCUACUGUAGGUUACUCUCCCAUGCUACUGUAGGUUACUCUCUCAUGCUACUGUAGGUUACUCUCCCAUGCUACUGUAGGUUACUCUCCCAUGCUACUGUAGGUUACUCUCCCAUGCUACUGUAGGUUACUCUCAUGCUACAGUAGGUUACUCUCCCAUGCUACAGUAGGUUACUCUCCCAUGCUACAGUAGGUUACUCUCUCCCAUGCUACUGUAGGUUACUCUCCCAUGCUACUGUAGGUUACUCUCUCAUGCUACUGUAGGUUACUCUCCCAUGCUACUGUAGGUUACUCUCCCAUGCUACAGUAGGUUACUCUCCCAUAUGACUGUAGGUUACUCUCCCAUGCUACUGUAGGUUACUCUCCCAAGCUACUGUAGGUUACUCUCCCAUGCUACUGUAGGUUACUCUCCCAUGCUACUGUAGGUUACUCUCCCAAGCUACUGUAGGUUACUCUCCCAUGCUACUGUAGGUUACUCUCCCAUGCUACUGUAGGUUACUCUCCCAUGCUACUGUAGGAUAAUAUCUGGAUUGUUUCAUAAUAACUCUUGUCUGGUGUGGGAUGUGCAGUUCCGGAGUGCAGAGAAUAACUUGUACUGAUGUGGAUUGGAGCAAACAAACCAUCUACAUAGUGGUGAUGUGUACGUUUUAGAUUAUAUUAUUACUAUUAUUUUAUUAAG
RNAcentral lists this long non-coding RNA (835 nucleotides) under Salmo salar (Atlantic salmon). RNAcentral's name for it is "lncRNA (ENSSSAG00000122011.1)". The record is from RNAcentral. Lineage: Eukaryota; Metazoa; Chordata; Actinopteri; Salmoniformes; Salmonidae.